UUGGGUGUGGGCUUUCUCGCUGUGCUGUGCUCCCCGCCCCGAGGACUUUUGAGAAGAGCUCUUAGGAUGGACCAUCUCAAAGGAAUCCUGUGCUGUCCUACGGCAGUGACCCCUUGGGCCACUCCGGGGCUGCUGAUGCUGGGUUGAACGCUGCGGUCUGGUUUGGUCCCAGCUAAAUGAAAGACAGGUGAUCCAGGAGGGAAUGGUCAGGAGGUCCUGGGAGGAGGUUUCUCUUAGUGAGAGAUGAGUCCCCAAGGUUCCUGUUGCUGCCUCAUCCCCAACCCCCCAGCACAUACACUGUGUGGCUUCCAUCUUCCUGUCUGUGUGUUUCUAGAACCUAUGUUCCUAGAACCUCAGAGUCUCUGGUGGUCUCGAAGAUGGGGAGGUGAGAAGGGAUCAGUGGGCAACUGGGAAUUCAGAAUGCAGCAAGGUUUCAAUACAGGGUGCUGAGUCCUCCUGGUCUGAUGAAAGACAGCAAUUCCUUUGCCAGCAUGGAGGCUGGUGUUGUCAGAUUUCCCUUGUCCUAGUCCCGCGGGCCUCUGUGUUGGCCUGGGGGUCAUGCCCUCAUUAUAUCCAUUGUCGGCAGCUGCCUCCUGUAAGAGUCCGAGAUGAAGGAUACGGAGGGGGAGGGCUUGCUUUCUCGCUGCCCUUGCUGUGAGCUCUGUGUAGAGUCUGCACGAUGACUUAUUAACCUCAGCGGGUAGCAAACAUCAAGAGUCUUUUUGGAAAAUGAAGGAGGCAGAGGAUGGGGCUGCAGCAAUGAAAAGGGUCCUCGGGGCUCUGGGGUGAGUCAAGUAGGUGUUUCCUUCUGUAGAGGGGCGGGACUGAGAAGGCGCGCCCGGGUCUCCAUGUCUCCAUCUGCAACAGGCAGGAUGUUCUUGCUCAACUCUGGCCCCUUCUUUGUUCUGAGAUUCUUAGAAUCAGCCCUAAAUCUCUGUGCCCGUUUCCUUAGGGCCACUCUGGACUGCCAGGCGGUGCCCUCUGUAGACUCUGAGUGGGUGGGGGCAGUUGCCUCAGAGGGCUCAUCCUUCUGAACGUGGGUGGCUUCCGAGAAGACUCUCCUGUCCUCCUUGCCAGUCACAACGCCGCAGGGCUGAAGUGCCCAAGGUCACUUUAGGUCUCCUUCACCCUCCUAGCCUCCCUGCACACUCAAAAAGCCCUGGUAAAGGGUUAUUUAUUUGUUUAUUUAUUUUUAAGGAGCUGGAGGUGGUUAGAUGGGUUUUGAAAUGACACCCCAUUAGCCAAUAUGGCCACCCCCAUCUAGUUCAAUCUCAUGGCCCGCUACUAAACUCCACAGUUUAGAAGUCCACGCCGGAGUGACUGGGAGGGGGUGUAGCAUCACUCAAGCUCCUUUGUAGCUGUGGUGGAUGCGCGAGUUCCCCCAGGCUUGUCUCCCUGCCACACCCUCCUCACCUGGUCCCCCCCAGACUGAGUGUGAGUGAGUUGCUGUUAGAUGCCCACCUGGGAAUAGGGUGCCAUGGCCAGGGGUCUUUCCAGUUCUUCUUGACUUUGGCGGUGAACCCAAUGCUGUCCUCUAAUUACACCCUUGACCUCUGAGUGGAUCUUGAGGGUCACUAAGCCUCGUUCAGUUAACAGACAAAAAUUUUGAUAUUUCCCCCACUCAGAAGAUGGUGUGCAAAUCAUCCCUGGAAAGAGACCUCCUACGGGAGGCAAAGGUUCCUUGGUCCUUCUGGGUUCAGGUUGACCAUGACUCUCUCUCCUCUGAUGCUUACUUUGCGGACUACACUAGUGCAACUAUUUUUGGUGCUAAAUACUACAGAAACCAACACCAACGGUAGAACAGCCAGCCAGCCCAUUUUUAGUGCUGUUUGAGACUCAACUCAGAAGCAAAAGCAGAUUUCACUGGAAAGACUUCAGUGGAGGUCCCUUUGGAGUAAGGAAGUUGAUUCUAUCAAGCUUCAUCAAUUUGAGCCUUACAUGUCUCAAGGAUGAGAAAUCCAGAGAUGGACUGGCCUAAGAGAUGUUCAGAAAGGUCCCGAGGGGAAAUCUGUUCUUUUGUAAAGUUCAAUCACUGGGGGCUCCCUGAAUUAAAUUCUGCUAAUGAUGACAUCCUGAGCAUCUGAAAAUGGCUCUUCCCGGUUCAUGGAUCACAUGAGAACUCACCGUUUCUACACAUCCUGUCCUGUUUCUGGGCUGGUAUUGAAUUCACCAGCACUGCAGGUGAAACCAGUCUGUGGGAGGGAGGGGAUGUAGAGAAUGUGAGAUGUUGAUCACUGGUCGCUCUUUCUGAAAGGCACUGCUGACUGUGGUGGGUGUGGUGAAUAUCUGUGAAUCCCUGCAUGGGGUAUGAGGACUUUUGCUGUGAGAAUAAUCAGUUUCACCCAGAGAAUCUGGUAUCCUGUCUUCUGACAUAGUCUCUGCCUCCCUGGUAUGUUCCUCAGAAUCAGAGUUCCCUGGACUGUCUAAACAAAUUCUUUGCAAACAAGAGAUCCUCCCACCCAAGUCUUGGUAUGCCAACAUAGACACUAUUCUAUUUCACAAGGAGAUCCAAGGAAAUUUGGGGUGCUCUCUCAAAGUACUUGAAAUUCUUGGUCCAAGUAAGAAAAAUUCAGAUUCCACUUCCUCUUUAAAUUCCAAAUUUAAAACAAGACCUGAUCUGAUAUUUGCAGUAGAGAGAUAUAUCUUAAGCCAGUGUGCCAGGCUGUCUCCCAUCCUAUAGAGGCAAGAGAGUGAGCUCUAUUCAUUUUUCCCAAUCACCAAGGUAAAUGGUAUUUUAUGUGCAGUGCCAUGACCCAAGCUUGGAGCUUUCAAGAGAUACUUAUGCCCAACAAGCUAGAAGUUUAUAAUAGAAGGCAUAUCAACAUUGUAUAGAUGAAGAAAGCUCGUUGGAGUCUCCUUCUGAGAAAUGCCUGUCACUCAGAUCUUGCUUUUCAGCUUUACAUCUCAUGAGAGAAGUUGGUUUCUUCUCAGUUUAGGUGAUGACAAAUUUAGAUUUCCUUCCUGAAUGUCUGAAGGUAGAUUGAGCACCUGGAUAUCCACAGUCUACCCUGACACUUCUCUGGGUGCAGCAUCUCUAAAGCCCGUGAGAAAUAUGUGUAGCUAAGCUAAGUCUGGCAGCUAUUCCUUCGUUUAAGAAGAGUUUGCAGGCAUCAUAAAAACAAAUUUUGUAAUAUGUUAACAGGUAGCACAUACUCAAGUGAAUAGCUUCCUGACAUCUUUUGUUUUCUCUUGGAGAAGUGUUUAUGUUCCAUCUUCAUUCCACAGCUUCCUGACAUUAGCUGAUUCCUCUAAGCUCACCUCUGGAGUGAAUAAAUAAACCUGGUCCAAGUGAUUUGAUGCCUGCUUUCUGCAGUAGAGAAGUAAAUCUUAGUAAAGAAGAACGUUUUUCAUUGUUGUCUUCUUCUUCUUCUUCUUCUUUUUUACUUUUUCUUUUUUUUUUUUUCCUUCUGGCUCUUAUCCUCCUGCUUCCAUAGGACUGACAAUCCAGUUUCUCAGACUCCAUGAAGGUCUUAAUAUAAGGUGAAUCUCAGGACCGCAAACAGUUUGGACUUCAAACAGUGAGAAAAUUGGUGCUGAAUGAUUCGGCACACAAAGCAGAAAACUUUCAUUUCCUGCAGGCAGGAUGGAAUUGACUGUUAUAUUAAGACUUCUGAAGGAGCCCUGCCCUGGAGUAAUUUCAGCACUGUCAGACAAUGUUGACAUCUAGAUUAACCUCUGUGCAGUGAAGUUUACUGCAGAGCUCAUUGAGAAGCAUGUGGUGGAUCUCUGCAAAUCCCAUCUAGAACCAUUGGUGGGCCACCCUCCACACCAUGCCCCUCCACUCCCCACCCACUCCUCUCCCCAUCUGUGGACUUUUUAACCUCCAGGAACCAUGGCUGGAAUCUGAUCCCAGGAGAUGGAAUUUGGCCCCCUUCUCUGUCUCUCUCUCUGUCCAUGGUGCUGAACCAGGCUUUGUGCUCAGCUGGAGUGACAGUGGUUGUCAUUGUAUUGGUUUUCCCCUCAGGGGACUACAAAUCAAGGCAUGAAAGCCACUCUGCUGAUGACAAACAAUUUUGUGGCAUAUCUUUAUGCUGCACAAAGUGAAAUGGUUUAUAAGGAAUUAGUGUGCCCCACAUCUAUAAGACUUUCUCUGAGCUCUCCAGUUCUCUAGCAUUUCCAGGGUCAGACAUAACAGGUCCUGACUACAGCUUGGUGGUCAGGUGGGGGUGACGGAUUCUGAUGGACAAAGGUAUUGCCCUAUGUCUGGGUAGGUGUUUCCUAUGGUUCUAACAAAAGAGGUAGCAUAGCUCCUUUUUCUCCUGGUUGGGACAAAGUAUGCAGCUGUCCACUACGAUCUUUUUUGCCCACUCUCUCCUGAUGGGGUGGUGGGCUCCAGAGUGGCCCAUACCCUUCCUAAUUCACUAUGUGAAACCACACAAGGGUGCAGCAGCCAGAAGAAACCUCAAAGUGAAAAAUCACAACUUCUCUACAAUCGGGGGCCACUCAUCACACCAAAAGUGUUGAGAAAUGUCCUUUAGAGUAAAUUCAUUGACCACAAAUUUCCCUGGUGUCUUACUGGUUUCUGUUUCUCCCUGAAAUUGUUUUUCCCACUUUGCCUCCUAUAUUUAAUGAGUAGCAGGAAUCUUUUUGUAUUCCCUUAGACAUUCUUUAGGAGAAAUGAAAGUUGCCAGUCAAGGACACUGUGUUUAUUGACUGGGAAAAUAGAUUUAUGGGCCAAGUAAUGUCACAGCCAUAUAAAGAGGCAGACCUGAUGACUUUAUUUAAAAGCAAUUAUCAGUGUUUUAUUUUGCCUGGGUGCUCAGGCUUAUAUAGGGCAAACUGCAUUCAUCUUUCUAUUUUAUUACUUAAACUUGUUCACAUGCACACACACACACACACACAAAUACCUUUACACUCCUGUUGGUCCUAAAAGGUCCAACAAGCAGUGUGCCCCAUUUGUCUUUCUCCCAACAACAUCCAUGCACAUGUAUGUGCAAAUAAGUGUACACCAAGCCUGAAGUUACUUAAACUUAUUAUAUCUCACCUUUUACUUUAUUAUCUACACAAUCUUCAGCUUUCUGACUUUUUGCACUAUGGAUCAUCUAUGAAAUUAAGGCCUUUUCAAGGAAGACUAUAUCUUGAAUUUUCAGAACCUUCAUAUUUAGUGGUUGGAUUCAUUUUCUCAGAGAAACAGAAAACCAAACUGAACCUUGAUGCAGAUUUUAUUUAAUUUUGGGGGAUGGAAGAGAAGCAAUGGAUUGGAGCCUGAACAGUACAUACUGUAUUAUGUAUAAGUAUAAAUGUAAGUUAGUUCAAGCAGAUUAAUGAACCUAUCUUGGGGCUGAAACCAUGAGAUAUCAAACAUUCAAAUGGAAUGAGAGCAUGAAGGGGAAGUGGUAGACUUUCCUGGAAGAUUUCAGUGUUCCACGGGGACAAGGACAGAGCACUGGGCUAAAAGUCAGCUGGGUAUAGUUUGUCUGGGUGACUGUUUCCAAGUUACUUCAGUUCUUUGGGCUGAUGUGUAAGCGUCCUUAGUCUACAGUGGACAGCUGGUAGACCUGAGCCUCUUCUUGAACGGCAGUGCUAACAUAAGUCAAUCUCCAACUCGUCUAUUGCUUGGAUCACUUGACUGAAAGAUAUCUUCUCCAGGUCUCCCCUAGAACAAGACUGCAAAUGUCCCUGUCCUGAAGAUUCAGCCUUACUUUAGUCUUGUGUUCAGGUCAUCUCUUGCAGCUCUUCUUUGUAUGUUCUUGAACGUUCACACUUGUACCAUCCACCACUACCCCCUAUUGCAUCCCUCUAUCUCUGCCAAGUCAGGAAAAGCCCCACUGGCCCCUCUCCCUCCUUCCUAGUUUGGGCAUCAACCACACUUGUGAUUUAGCCAAGGUUUCUGGAGAGGAAACCAGUGUGCUCUCAGCCAUCAGUCUUUCCAGCUCAUUUGACCAAAUGAUUAGCUCCUUAUUAUCAUCUCAUCAGUCCCUCUUGCACAAGAGAUGUUGGGACAACAAACCCAUGAUAAUGUCCUGUUCUGUCUUUUUGAGGAUUAUUUGUUCCUUCUGUCUUGGUUUAGAGAGGUUUGCCUUGCCACAAACAGGUUUUCCUUCAAAUUUCUUGAGUCAUUUUUCUGGCUGUUAACUAGACUGAUAAAGGGUAAACCAUGGUUUCCUUCUUUUUUUUUUUUUUUUUUUUUUUUUGCUUAGGCUCCUAUCAGCACGGGUGUACUAUAUCCCUACAGAAUAAGAGUGUCACAUGUCAGCAAGAUGUUUAUUUAUUUAGUGGAAAGGCUAUAAUAUGGAAACACAGAUUUGCAGCAGCAUCCAAAUCUUGAAGGGGAUAAAAGUCUUUUUCAAUCAAAUGAGAUCUUUACUGUAAUGGCACCAGGAAGGCUUAUACCUUAAGAACUAAAUUGAACCUGAUAACAUGGUCUCUUUUUAGGGAACAAUGAGGUGGAAGAAAUUACCCUAGGACCUGGGAGACUAGAUCCUCCACUCCACAAAUCAUGCUGUAUCAGUAGAUAUUUCAACUCUUUCUCUCAAAUGGCUCUGAGAACCAACAGUGACCUAUGAUCAAAUAUCCACGUUAACUACUAAAAGCAAAUUCAUCACAUUUAAACACAUUCCUAGUUGCUUAAUAUAGUUUUUCCCUGGUACUUCUGGGGAUAGUUUAAUAUUGUUUCUUUUCUUGAUCCCUGUUAAUAUUUUCAAUAAGAUUUCUAAAUUCUUUUAUGUUCAUUUCUUUAGGAAAAACAUGGAGUCAAUUCAGAAUUUUGUGUAUGAUAAAAUGACUAAACAGACUGAAAAUAGUGUAGGGUAGGGGGACAACCAUAGGACUGGGGAGGAGGCCGAGGACAUCUAAGCUCCUAUUUUUGCUGAGUGAUCUUGGAAACAUCAUUAGCCCUUCUGUGCCUCUGGUUCUUCAUCUACAAAAGAAAGCUGCUAACAGCCCCCUGUCCUCACCAAAUGAGAUCAUAGUUGUCCAAUCACCCUGUGGGCUUCACAGACACCUCAAACAGUAGAGCCCACUCUCUGGGCAGUGAGUUUUGCCAAGAGCUUUCCUGGGUGUUGAGGCUGUGAGUUCCUUUGGAGAUGUGCUGUUUUGAAGAGCAUCUUUCUUCAAUCCCUCCUGUGAUUUGGCUUCUAGAAUUUUGUCAUAGGUAUUUUCUUCUUGGAAUCAUCAUCAAGCUUGGAAGGCCAGAGAACGCCUUUCCAAAAAUACAAGCAGAAAAAGGGUGCUUUAAUCAUAUGGCUUUGUCACUGAAAGCUUUGAUGGUAGACCUUGUUUUCAGGUCUGGAGUCCUGAAUGUUCCACAGCAAAAUGGCGUGUCCUGCUGUGUUUAACUCUGUAUUAUCUGUUAUUGCUUUUGUGAGGUUCUGUAGAUUUCAAUGCAAUUUUUUUUUUAAAGUAGGACUCUGUUACGUUUCCUUGAUAAAUUGGGUAGUGAAGCCAGUCUUGAAGAACAGCACCCAAAGUGAUAAUGAUCCUGAAACAGUAUUGUGUUCAUUCUGGGGCUAGCAUUUUGUGUAUAGGAGAAUAACCUUAAGAUGGAAAAAAAAAAAUGUUGGAGUGAAGAUCAAACGCCAGACCACCUUUCUAACAGCCUUGAGCACUCCCAAAUAGGUAUGAUUGGGAUUCCCACUGAGAAACACAUCUGAUUGGAAAUGAAACCCCUGACAAUACAUCGUGAAGCCAGAUUACCAAGGUUACAACAGUGAUGUCAUUUACAGCCCCUUAAGAAAAAGGUCUCAGGUGUUUGUAACACCAACCACUGUUUGUAAGGGUGAUUACUUGGUAUGUUAAAAUUCUCAAAUGUAAUUUCCUUUAGAUCUCCAAGCUAUGAUCAGGUGCAAUGCAACUGACUAAAUGCUGUGCAUGCCUCUUCUUCUUUUUAAAGAAUUUUUCACUCCAGAGAGAAAUCACAAUAAUCCUGAGGACCUGAAAUCCUAAGAAAUUCACAAAUCUUUUGCUCAAGUUCAGACCAUUUCAGCUUCCCACUUCUCUUUCUACCUGAGGGUCAGUUUUUGCCUGUCUUAGAUAGGAAAGCAGCAUCUUUGUUCUGAACCUCUGUCCCUGUGACAUUUUCCCUGCAGCUGUACAGCAGACAGAAAGCAUUUUCGCUUACUUUGAAAUGAGAGUCCAAAUUGGGUUAUGACUAGGAUUUUAAAUUAUGAUGUGAAAUUGGAGAAGGCAAGCUGAUUCAGGGUGAUGUUCCAUAAUUCAUUCUGCUAAUCCCAUGGAGCUGACCUUCUUCACAGCCUGCCUUGAACAAGCCAUCUCCCUGUGUAGCUUCCUAGUGACAAGGUUUGAUUACUUAAGGAUUUCAGAGAUAUCAUUUGAGAAAUAACUCACUGGGUAUGGAAAAUUUGACUUAAUAUGUUAACAGGAACAACAAGAACCUAUUUUAAUGUUUUUUUCUUUCCUAUCUCUGAGAUUUUAGUCUUUCUUGAGGCCAUUGGGCUGUUUCCUUUUCAAGGCUGGAAAAAAUUGAUUAUAAUUCAUGUCUAUAGAAAGGCUCCCCCAAGCCCAUUGCAGCUGGGGGCAACCCCAAAUGACCCAUGAUAAUCUUUUGUUACCCAACAGAAUCAAGGACCCUUCUUGGUUGUGUGUGUGGGCCAUGGCGAGUAAGCUCAAGGGUAUUGUCAAAAUAAAAUGAAAAGAAGGCAAGUUGGGACAAGAAAAUUCUCAGUUUGAAUUUGAGAGAAA
Long non-coding RNA from Capra hircus (goat), 8640 nucleotides. RefSeq lists it as uncharacterized. The record is from RefSeq and is a predicted model, not a curated record. The transcript is spliced from 2 exons. Lineage: Eukaryota; Metazoa; Chordata; Mammalia; Artiodactyla; Bovidae.